UUGUUAAGGAUUUGUUUUUAUAAAAUUGAAAUAUUUUCAAAAUUCAUUGUUUUCAGUAUCACUAAUAUUUUACAAUUUUUCUUGUUAAUUAAAUCAUUGUUAUUAUCAUGUUUAUAAUUAAUUUUUAAGUAAAAAAUACAAUUCAUUAAAAUUUUACAUUAUGUCUGGUCAGGAUACAAUUCAAUUCAAGUAAAAAAAUAAAAACUAUUUUUUCUAUAAAAAAAACUAAUUACACAUAAGAUAAAAUACUGCUUUUAUUAAAAUAUAAAUUUAACUAAAUGAAACUAGAGGUGUGCAAAAAAACCCGAAUCAAACCGAACUAACCUAACCGAACCGAUUCAAAACAAACCAAACUCUAUUUUCAAAUUGUUUGGUUUAAGAUUUUCCCAACCCGAACAAACCGAACCAAAACCGAUCCGGACCAAAUCGAAUUAAACCGAACUCAGAAACCAAUGUGUUUUUGUUAAUACUUGAAUUAAACAUAUUACCAAUAUACAAUAUACUAAAUUUCAGUUUUAUAUUGAAUUUAGUUUAUAGUUUAUUUUUUCAGAGUCAUCAAUUGUUAUUAUC
This 570-nucleotide long non-coding RNA is filed under the name Brassica napus (rape). RNAcentral's name for it is "long non-coding RNA (BNAP_LNC005140)". The record is from RNAcentral. Lineage: Eukaryota; Viridiplantae; Streptophyta; Magnoliopsida; Brassicales; Brassicaceae.